This 113-nucleotide ribosomal RNA is filed under the name Jaculus jaculus (lesser Egyptian jerboa). Lineage: Eukaryota; Metazoa; Chordata; Mammalia; Rodentia; Dipodidae. The record is from RNAcentral.
GUCUUCAGUCAUAUCACCUUUUACAUGCCCAAUCUCAUCUGAUCUCGGAAGCUAAGUAGGAUGGGUCUGGUUAGUACUUGGGAUGGGCUAAAACCUUCUUAGGAUUCAAGACC